CAGUCGCCGCGUAAUACGGAGGGAGCUAGCGUUGUUCGGAAUUACUGGGCGUAAAGCGCGCGUAGGCGGUUACUCAAGUCAGAGGUGAAAGCCCGGGGCUCAACCCCGGAACUGCCUUUGAAACUAGGUGACUAGAAUCUUGGAGAGGUCAGUGGAAUUCCGAGUGUAGAGGUGAAAUUCGUAGAUAUUCGGAAGAACACCAGUGGCGAAGGCGACUGACUGGACAAGUAUUGACGCUGAGGUGCGAAAGCGUGGGGAGCAAACAGGAUUAGAUACCCGCGUAGUCCCUGUCUCUUAUACA
RNAcentral lists this ribosomal RNA (301 nucleotides) under uncultured bacterium. RNAcentral's name for it is "partial 16S ribosomal RNA". It matches the Rfam family "Bacterial small subunit ribosomal RNA", at positions 509 to 808 of the family's 1533-position model. The record is from RNAcentral.